AACGAACGCUGGCGGCAGGCCUAACACAUGCAAGUCGAGCGAGGACUUCGGUUCUAGCGGCGGACGGGUGAGUAACGCGUGGGAACGUGCCCUUUGCUACGGGAUAGCCCUGGGAAACUGGGAGUAAUACCGUAUGUGCCCUUUGGGGGAAAGAUUUAUCGGCAAAGGAUCGGCCCGCGUUGGAUUAGGUAGUUGGUGGGGUAAUGGCCUACCAAGCCGACGAUCCAUAGCUGGUUUGAGAGGAUGAUCAGCCACACUGGGACUGAGACACGGCCCAGACUCCUACGGGAGGCAGCAGUGGGGAAUCUUAGACAAUGGGCGCAAGCCUGAUCUAGCCAUGCCGCGUGAGCGAUGAAGGCCUUAGGGUUGUAAAGCUCUUUCAGGGGGGAAGAUAAUGACUGUACCCCCAGAAGAAGCCCCGGGCUAAACUCCGUG
RNAcentral lists this ribosomal RNA (435 nucleotides) under uncultured bacterium. RNAcentral's name for it is "bacterial SSU rRNA". It matches the Rfam family "Bacterial small subunit ribosomal RNA", at positions 29 to 507 of the family's 1533-position model. The record is from RNAcentral.